UGCGUAGGUGGUCUGGCAAGUCAGAAGUGAAAACGCAGGGCUUAACCCUGCGACUGCUUUUGAAGCUGUCAGACUGGAGUGCAGGAGAGGCAAGCGGAAUUCCUAGUGUAGCGGUGAAAUGCGUAGAUAUUGGGAAGAACACCAGUGGCGAAGGCGGCUUUCUGGACUGUAACUGACGCUGAGGCUCAAAGGCUAGGGUAGGCGAACG
This 208-nucleotide ribosomal RNA is filed under the name uncultured bacterium. Its description in RNAcentral is "partial 16S ribosomal RNA". It matches the Rfam family "Bacterial small subunit ribosomal RNA", at positions 568 to 774 of the family's 1533-position model. The record is from RNAcentral.